UUUUAUUGGAGAGUUUGAUCCUGGCUCAGGACGAACGCUGGCGGCGUGCCUAACACAUGCAAGUCGAACGGACUGAUGUUCAACACCGAGCAUUUUAGGGUGUUAAAGACGACGGCAGCGCAUAAGCUGCGAAGCAGCUUUACGCGUUAAAAAAGUGCCAACACAACACCUUAGAGUCAUCGGUGUUGAACAUCAGUCAGUGGCGAACGGGUGAGUAACGCGUAGACAACCUGCCUUCUAGAUGGGGAUAACACCGCGAAAGUGGUGCUAAUACCGAAUGUGUCAACCUGGGCGCAUGCCCGGGUUGAGAAAGGUGGCCUCUUGG
RNAcentral lists this ribosomal RNA (325 nucleotides) under Thermosinus thermophiluss DSM 23256. RNAcentral describes it as "bacterial SSU rRNA". It matches the Rfam family "Bacterial small subunit ribosomal RNA", at positions 1 to 222 of the family's 1533-position model. The record is from RNAcentral. Lineage: Bacteria; Bacillati; Bacillota; Negativicutes; Selenomonadales; Sporomusaceae.